Long non-coding RNA from Triplophysa dalaica, 760 nucleotides. RefSeq lists it as uncharacterized. NCBI's taxonomy places the organism in Eukaryota, Metazoa, Chordata, Actinopteri, Cypriniformes, Nemacheilidae. The transcript is spliced from 3 exons. The record is from RefSeq and is a predicted model, not a curated record.
CUUGACUGAAAUGUUUCUCAUAAUCUUACCGACCUUAUUUUUGGCGAAAACAUUAGUGACGCCAUAUUCGAGCUUUUUGUGUUUAAUAAACGUUAAACGGCAGGAAUUUGCGGGGAGUUAGCACAAAUAAAACGAAAGUUGUGAUGGAUCCUGCAGCUCGGUGGAGACCUGCGAUACAACCAGCCGUCUCCAUUCUUCUAAUGUUGUCUCAACUAUUACACAUUCCAUAUCUUCUGGACUACGAACCUCCCUGUAAACCAACCCAUCCUUAUGAAAGGUAAUACACUUUCAAAUUGCAUUACCACAGUUAACGGGAUUUGAGCCUUCAUCUUUUCUCCUUGAGGUUGUAACAGUUCAACGUCUGCAUAUCAUCAUCGCCAGACUACACUUCCCAUAAUCCCCAGCACCCGUCUCACCUGAUCUUCAUUAUUGGACUCUAGUUGUUUAUCUUCAUGAUCUGUGUAUCCCUCAUUUUCUGUUGUAUCUAAGUUCUCCCCUUCCAAGUGUUCUUUGUCUAGUAUUGUUUGUGAAUGUUGAUGGUGUCGUGUAUCUCCUGUGGUUCCCGUCGAUUCAAGUAAACCCGUUUGAGUACCUGAUCAUCUUCCUGCACGAACCCUUACAGAAGUUAGGACCUACUAAGCAUUUUUUCUUGUUGUUGUUUGCUAGUCGCAUGAAUCAAUAUUCUUUUAUUGUUCAUAAAUCUUGCAAAUUUAAAUGUAACAAUUUCAUUCUCUAUCGCCCUGGUAAGUUUCAUUGGGUG